Molecule: ribosomal RNA, 262 nt
Filed under: uncultured bacterium
Lineage: Bacteria
Description: partial 16S ribosomal RNA
Rfam family: Bacterial small subunit ribosomal RNA
Source: RNAcentral
UACAGAGGGUGCGAGCGUUAAUCGGAAUUACUGGGCGUAAAGCGUGCGCAGGCGGUUAUGUAAGACAGGUGUGAAAUCCCCGGGCUUAACCUGGGAACUGCAUUUGUGACUGCAUAGCUAGAGUACGGUAGAGGGGGAUGGAAUUCCGCGUGUAGCAGUGAAAUGCGUAGAUAUGCGGAGGAACACCCGAUGGCGAAGGCAAUCCCCCUGGACCUGUACUGACGCUCAUGCACGAAAAGCGUGGGGGGAGCAAAACAGGAUU